AUACUUACCUGGCAGGGGAGAUACCAUGAUCACAGAGAUGGUUUCCCAGGGUGAGGCUUAUCCAUUGCAUUCCAGAUGUGCUGACCCCUGCGAUUUNNNNN
RNAcentral lists this small nuclear RNA (101 nucleotides) under Dasypus novemcinctus (nine-banded armadillo). Its description in RNAcentral is "U1 spliceosomal RNA (ENSDNOG00000032455.1)". It matches the Rfam family "U1 spliceosomal RNA", at positions 1 to 103 of the family's 166-position model. Rfam says of the family: U1 is a small nuclear RNA (snRNA) component of the spliceosome (involved in pre-mRNA splicing). The record is from RNAcentral. Lineage: Eukaryota; Metazoa; Chordata; Mammalia; Cingulata; Dasypodidae.